This is a small nuclear RNA of Cricetulus griseus (Chinese hamster), 107 nucleotides long. NCBI's taxonomy places the organism in Eukaryota, Metazoa, Chordata, Mammalia, Rodentia, Cricetidae. The record is from Ensembl.
GUGCUCACUUCAGCAGCACAGAUACUAAAACUGGAAUGAUACAAGGAACAUUAGCAUGGCCUCAGCACAAGAAUGACCUGCAAAUUCAUAAAGCAUUCCAUAUUUUU